UUUUCUUUUAUUAUUUUCUUCUCUUAAAACAAUUCUUCAAGUAAAUGGCGACGGAGGACAACAAGCUCCUCCUCCUCCUCUUCCUCCUCCUUUUCUCUUCUUCUUCGUCAUUCUUCGCGAUCUCAUUUUCAUUCUUCAGUUGUUGAUUUUCUCAGUUACGCGGUGAUGAUAAUUUGGAAGGAUUAAGAAACUACUUAGAGAGAGAAAGAGAGUGAGAGGAAGAGAGAGAGGGUUUUUUUUUUUUUUUUUGUAAAUGUCCGGUGGUGAGAGAGAGGAGAAGCCAUGGAAAUGUGGAAAAGCGAUUGCAGUGGCGAAUUUACAGAGAGUAGGAACAAUGGUGAGGGAUAUAGGAGAGCCUUGUCUUUCACAAUCACCUAUAAAGGUUGUUAUACUUGUAGGAAGAAUGCUUAAGCCGGAGAAGUGGCAAUCGACUUUUGAUAGUAAUGGAAAGGUUUCACGUUUUCAGAAAGCGCUGAAGUUGAUUGUUUUAGGGGGUGUGGAUCCAUCUAUUAGGCCACAAGUUUGGGAGUUUCUACUUGGCUGUUAUACACUGGGAACCACUGCUGAGUACCGGAGGCAGCUGAGGACAGCACGAAGGGAACGCUACAGAGACCUCAUCGAGCAAUGCCAAAAAAUGCAUUCAAGUAUAGGAACUGGUGCCCUUGCGUUUGCUGUGGGGUCCAAAGUUAUGGAUAUGAGGACACCAUCCAAGGAUGAUGGGAGAGGGGAAGAAGCUACUGUCAAAAGUAGACAAACCUCUGUAGAUGUUACUAACAGCUUAGAGAAUUAUAGUGAUUGGAAUAAUAAUUGUACAGAUACAGCGUGCACGUGUGCAGGGCAAAGUUCUAGUGAUUCUGCUGGACUUGUCAGUGUGAGGGGAAGCUCAGAUAGUGCAGCACAUGAUUCUUCUUGUUUUAUACCUACUUCUGGCCCACUCAAUAGUGGUUCUCCAAAAAGAGGUGGGGAGGCUCAUGGAUCAGAGUAUGUAGUGGAGAGUUAUUUUGAUUUUCCUCCUUUACCUGUCACGAAUUUGUUUGACAAGAGAGAAGAUAAGAAAGAAAGUGGUGUGCUUGAUGACAAACCACGUACACAAAGAAAAUUGAGAUUUCAAGAUGACAGGAUGCACAGUUUUCAAAUUAAUAAUAAUGUAGAUUUAAUUAUUGAAUCCAGUGGGGAACCAUCUAACCAUGCUUCACCUCAGAAGAAAUCUGAAAUUGAAUUAGUUCACCAAGAGGACCAUGAACCAGUAUUACAGUCCAAUAAUCUUGGUAAUGAGAAAGAAAUAGUGGACAAAUUGAGAAUAGCUGAUGUUCCUGAGACACCAUUGUUAAAUGGAACAACAUCUAAUGGAGGGGUGGCUGGUGAGAACAGAGUGUCUGAAUGGCUCUGGACAUUGCAUCGAAUAGUUGUUGAUGUUGUAAGAACAGAUAGUCAUCUUGAAUUCUAUGAGGAUAAAAGAAAUUUAGCUAGGAUGUCUGACAUCCUUGCUGUCUAUGCAUGGGUUGAUCCAGCCACUGGUUAUUGUCAAGGUAUGAGCGAUCUGCUGUCUCCUUUUGUUGUUCUCUUUGAGGACAAUGCUGAUGCAUUUUGGUGCUUUGAGAUGCUUCUACGGAGAAUGCGUGAAAAUUUUCAGAUGGAAGGACCAACUGGGGUCAUGAAACAGUUGCAAGCAUUGUGGCACAUCUUGGAACUCACAGACAAAGAAAUGUUUGCACACCUAUCACGUAUUGGUGCUGAAAGCCUCCAUUUUGCAUUCCGGAUGCUGAUGGUUCUCUUCCGCCGAGAGUUAUCUUUUAGUGAGGCUCUGCGGAUGUGGGAGAUGAUGUGGGCUGCUGAUUUUGAUGAAUCUGUUGUGUGUGAUCUAGAGGAGAAUUGUCUGGAUGCACUGUUGCUAAAUGUUCCAAGGGAUUGUGAAGGAGAUACAAGGGAAGAAAGCAUUGAAAAUAGUGAUGGUAGUUCAAGGGAUGGUUCACAAUCAAAGCAUGGAAAUGUUGAGCACCCAACGUCUGACAACACUGGAAUGAAAUCCGCAUCAGUUUAUAACUUUUGUGGUUUCACAAAGAAUUUUUGGUCAAGAAAUGACCGCAUGCAGAUUACCAAUGCAAUCUCAUCAACUAAGAACGGGAAUGAUGAAUUACCUGUUUUCUGUGUCGCUGCUAUUCUCAUCAUGAACCGGCAAAAGAUAAUCAAAGAAACUCGCUCAAUUGAUGAUAUGAUAAAGAUUUUCAAUGAUAGGCUGCUGAAGAUUCAUGUUAAAAGAUGCAUACGCACAGCGACCAAACUUCGGAAGAAAUAUUUUUACAAGCUGAUCAAAAGCAAGAACCAUGUAGUCCAGAAUGGUGAAUAAGACUGCCAAUUUUAGUAUUCAUUUCACUGACAGAGGCACCAUGUUGGCACUUAGAGCUGGUAGCGGUAGUCUGGGAUGCUGAUUUUGAGUACGGCCUUACAAUGUUUUGUUAUUUGGAUCUUUUAUGAUGGAGUUAUUUAAAGAAAAGUGCUGUUGCCAUUCAAAGAUAUUGUACAGUUGAUUGUACUUCCAUUGUCUCCUUCACAUCUUUGUGAGCAUUCUCCUUUCAUUUUCCUAUCCUCCUUUUGAGGCCAACGGAAAGAUCAAAGGUGCCAACAAGUUCAUCUUUGGUGCAUCCAGGUUCUUAUCAUUUAACUGCUAUGAUAAUUCUCACAGGUUAGGCAAAGACAACGUUUUCUUUUCCAUUGAUUUCAUUUUUCCAAGUUUUUAGAGGGCAAAUUAUUAUAAAGAGAAGAGAGGUAGAGAGGGAGCAAAUUGUUUUGACAAUUUUGAUUGCCUUGUGCUUUUGUUGAAAGGAGUUUAAAAAAUUAACUAAAAGUUAUUGAAAGUCAUCAACAAUUGCAAUGGUUGAAAUGCUGAAGAUGAGUUCUUUACUUGAGCAGGAGUUGUGUAAUUUUAUUUGUAGAAAGGAAACAUUUUUUUCAGGCACAUAUUUGUAUCCUCUAUCCUCGACACAAAACAAUAUCAUUUAAUUGACAGUAUUUUUAUGAUGACAAA
Populus nigra (black poplar) is the source of this 3025-nucleotide RNA transcript. RefSeq lists it as uncharacterized. The record is from RefSeq and is a predicted model, not a curated record. NCBI's taxonomy places the organism in Eukaryota, Viridiplantae, Streptophyta, Magnoliopsida, Malpighiales, Salicaceae. The transcript is spliced from 12 exons.